AGCCCUGCACGCGUGGAGCGGUGGCACUGCCAACCGCGCAGGAGCCUUGUGACAAGAUAGAGGGAUUCAGAGAGACCAGAGACUCCUGGGUGUUGCUCCUCUCUAGAACCCUGUCGACACCCUAGGGAUGUCUCUUAUAAGGAUCCACGCCUGGUAACCUCAGAGUGAAUUUCUACAAGAUUAGGGUUUGCUGAAAUGGCAGAGAGGAAAGAGACCUGGGGGUACAUCAGAGGUGAACUUCAGUAACACACAACAAUCACAGAACUACAUCAACAACACCACAGCUACAGGCAUGCUUUCUACAUAGAUUUUUUUUUUCUUUUUGCAAGUAAACCAGAUUGCAAUAUUAAAUGACCGAUGUUAGUAAGUAUGAAUUCAAGUAGCGAAUGUUUGAAAUAUAAAUUUUAUACAGGUAGAAUGAAAUAUUAUGAAAGUGUUUCUACAUGAAUCUAGAAAUGAGAACAAUUUUAGAAAAUGUGUGUGUGGAUUAUGCACUCCGGAACGCGGAUAUUCUUGAAAACAAUUAGACAGCAUACUAAAAUAUGUUUACUCAGUCAGGGAGCAUGAUGGAAGAGGAGACAAAACAAAUAUAAGAGCCAGAAGGAAGAUAAAGAGGAGCGCUGCCUCAGGCUAUCUCCAAGUACCACAUAGCCUUCAAAGUCCUGAAAUCGCAGCAGCCACGCCCACUGCACUGGGCUGUUAACAGGAAAUCAUGGGUCCCAGGGGACCGAAGCUCUCCUGCAUGAACUAUUGACUACUGAUGAAUUCUGGAGGAGGGACAGUUAUUUCGUUCACUUGGGUCCCCAGAAGUGAGCCCACCAGGCUCUACUGGCUAGCUACCAACCCACGUUGACACAGAUGUGUCUGGUUAUGCUCAGGUGGUGACAAAUCAAAAAAAAAAAAAANAACAACAACAAAAAAAAAACAAGCGUUGAGUGUAGAAAGGGACCUGUAGGGGAAGACAGGAAGGGGAGGAAGAUAAAGGAGGGAAAAGUGAGAGGCAUCACAGCACAUUAUAAACAUAUUUGAAAUUGUCAAAGACUAAACUU
RNAcentral lists this long non-coding RNA (1049 nucleotides) under Mus pahari (shrew mouse). Its description in RNAcentral is "lncRNA (MGP_PahariEiJ_G0004937.1)". The record is from RNAcentral. Lineage: Eukaryota; Metazoa; Chordata; Mammalia; Rodentia; Muridae.